RNAcentral lists this long non-coding RNA (2392 nucleotides) under Marmota monax (woodchuck). The stretch from base 2111 to 2179 matches the Rfam family "tRNA". Lineage: Eukaryota; Metazoa; Chordata; Mammalia; Rodentia; Sciuridae. The record is from RNAcentral.
CCAUAGUAGGCUCCAGUUGGACACUGGCAGCUGCUGGUCCUUGGCAGUGACCUGUGAGGUCACCUGUCUAGAAGACAGGAAAGGACCUGAUAAAGUUGUGUCUCUUUUGGCAGGGAGGUAGUAGGGGAAGAGUCUCCUGACCAGUUUCCUCCGUGACUCCAGGCUCUGUCCUCUAGGAAUAGCCCAUCCUUUUUGUACUCCGCCUGCUAUAGCCAAGGUGGGCAUCAGUGUGUGCUGCUGGGGGGCUUGGCUCCCUGCCUGCGGGUAGACAUUCCUGGUCAAGACCUGUCAUGUCAAAGGUAGUGUACCAGGCUCGUGGGUCUUGCUUGGCAGUGUUCUGAGCUCUUUGCUUCCCAUCAGUUCCACAUACAAAUAAUUGCAUUAUUUUGGUUAGAGAAUUACUUUUGAUCCUCCAGUGGUUGCGUCUCCCAGUAUGGUCUUCUCCUACACAGACUUGGAGUGGCCAGUGGGACAUGAGAGCAGGCAAGAGGUAAGCAGGGCCUGCGUGUGGCUGGUCCUCAUGGUAUGACCUACUGGCAGCCUGGCUAGUGGGCUAUGAGAAGUUCAAAUGCAUGGAGAGGCCAAGUGGUGGAGAACUGAGGUGCUCUGGGCAGUGACCCCAGAUAAGCUGUCAGAUAAUAGCACCUAGGAGUGAGCACAGUACCGCUAUGAACAACAAUAAUAAGUUGUCUUAAAUUGCAGAGUUUGGGGGUAAUUUGUUAACACAGCAAUAGAUUACAGGAGCAUACGAAGUUCUUUCUCAGGAGCUGCCAAAUCCCCUUGCUGCCCUUCCCCCUCUCUUCCCUCAACUUAAUGGUAGUCCUCACGGGUCUAUGGGAUCACCAUGGGAGGGCCACCCCCUCAUCCAACUGAAUGAAAGACUAGUUAUUUUGUUCAAAUGAGUAGUAAUUUUUAUUAGGAAUUUAUUAUUCAGAGCAAUUUUCAAUCUUGCCUCCUCAUUGGUUCUAGAUACAGUCUCCUUUUUCAACAUUUUGACCCAAAACUUGAGAUUGUUUUUGUUCCCUUUCACUUCUGCUUGCUAAGUGGUCAGUUCUUUCCUGAGUACAAACAUCAUUGACAGCAGCUAGCUCCCACUGUAUAUUCUACUAUCUGUCUCUGUCUCCUAGAGUUGUUGAUUUGGCACAAACCGACUUUCAUCUUGGGUGACAUCAUCUGCUUGUGUGGUAUGAGUUUCCUGCUGUCCAUCCAGUUAUCUGUGCUCAGUUCCUGACUGCCCAAUUGGUGCCCCUUAAAGUAGUUUUUGUUUUGGGUUACAGCAGAAAUCUACCCCUAAUAGCAAUUAUCAUGCCUAGGCUAUGUAGGAACAAACACAUCUCAAACUGCUUGAGGCUAAACACAAUAAAAGUGUUUUUCUCACAAAAUGCCCAACAGCUGGGAACUGUGAGAUUCGUGUUUUUGUUUGUUUGCACCGGGGAUUGAACCCACAGGCACUUAACUACUGAGCCACAUCCCCAGCCCUUUUUUGUAUUUUAUUGAGACAGAGUCUCAUUGAUUUGCUUAGGGCCUCACUAAAUUGCUGAGGUUUGCUUUGAAAUAGCAAUCUCCUGCCUUAGCCUCCAGAGCCACAGGUUACUACACGCAGCUCUCCUUCAUGAUGCUGCCAUCUUCAACACAUAGUUCAAAGGGCUCACUCUGUUGACAGGAACAAGAAGGAUUACUCAGGCAGUUAAGUAGGUCAGACCUCUAAGAAGUGAGCAUUUUUUUGGUCAGAACCACUUGUUUGGAUCUACAAGGGGCCUGGGCAAUGUCUUCCAAAGUGUGCCCAGGAGAAAAUGGAAAUGGUCUGGUGAGCACAUCAUUGUGACAGGAGUGAACCAAGGAGCCAUAUGCCUCAACUGCUCUUCGUGUAGAUGGUUACUCAUCCAUCUUGCUUCCCAUGUCCCAGGCACAUAUUCAAGCUGUCAGUCUCCAAAGUUCCCCAUUGCAUAGUUCUCAGUGACUAGCAGGGGCACAAGGGACUCUCCUAGCUGAUGGUGAUGUUCUUUGCCUCAGCACCGGGGUAUGCAUUUGUAAAAACUCAGAUGUAGCACACUUAGGAUUUAUGUAUUUUGUUGGAUAUAAAUCUUCAAAAGAAAGAACAAAAUGGGCUGGGGCUGUAGCUCAGUGGUAGAGCACUUGCCUAGCAUGUGUGAGGCACUGGGUUUGAUCCUCAGCACCACAUAAAAAAAUAAAAUAAAGGUAUUGUGUCAACUAAAAAUUUUUUUUAAGAAAGAAAGAACAAGGGCUGGGGCUGUAGCUCAGUGGUAAAUUGCCUGCCUCCUAUGUGUGAGGUACUGGGUUCAAUCCUCAGCAACACAUAAAAAUAAAUUAAGAUACUGUGUGUUCAUCAAUAACCAAAUAAACAUUUUAAAAAGAAAGAACAAUAUUGAAC